UUUUAACCUUGCACUCAGCCUAGAUCCUUGCCGCACGUGAUGCCUUCUUUCUAUGACAUGAUUGAUGUAUAGAGGGUUUCCCUCUUAUCUCUUACCUUCAUCUGGUAUUACAGGCAGCACUUGUCAGUGUCAGAAGUUACGUCUGCCUCUUUAGUUGUGUCAGGAGCCCAAGCUGUGUCUUUUGGACAGGGUUCCUCCGUAAUUCCUUCCCAGGUUGUCAGCUAAGCCUGUUGUUUUCAUUGCAGCAUGCCUGGCUCCUGUGCUCUGCAGAGGAUGCUCCACUCCGUCCGCAGCGAUGCUUCCAGGAGGAGGUCAGCAGCUAAGGAGCGGGCCUUUUUUUCCUUCCCAAAUCCUACGGGGAAGAAGUGACUGCAUGCUAUUCAUUGUUUUGAGAUUAUUUAAGAAACCACUGCUAUUGAACUAGCAGGAGAUCCUCUCGUCCGUGACCUAUGCCAGAGCAUCUGAUUGUUGUGCCCCAGGUGCAGGCCAUAAUUUUCAUGGGAAAGUAUUAAGAACGCAUGAAGAGUGACCGUCCUCUCUGCUAGCCCUCUCUGAUUUGUAUGGGCUUGUCCUGGCCUUUCCAUCCGCAGUGUGGAGGUGGUUGUUUGUUUUCUUCUUAAAUGGUGUCCUGCCUUCCUCCUCUUUUUUGACAAAACUGUACAUACAUGGAGACUCGCUGAGUGUUGAGCACGGCACGUGAAUGGAGGGGCCACUUCAAACUACUUUUGCAAGAAGGGAUUCCGCUCGACAGAUAAUGAAACCAUGGGAUAGACCUCAGGGAGUGUUCAGCCUGAUUGCUACUCAGAGUCAGCACCAGUGCUGCUGCUGGUUUCCCACAGCUACAAUUUUGAGUAAGCAGGUAGUUUAUUGCAAAGCAGAGAUCACCAGGGGCAAUUCAGAACUUCUGUUUGGCUUUGGAGAUUUUUUGGAUCCAUCUAUGAAGAACCUAAUUGCACUGAGCUGUGCUGAGUUAGAAUUGUGCUCAAGAAAUUUUCAGAGCAGCUGACCAAAUUUUGAAUGAUCAGACCUGGCCUGUUGGGUCAGGGAAUGAAGAUCGGGUGGCUCCUACUGUCUUGCUGUAGGUGAGGCCCAGGCUUAGCCUAGAAAUUAGCUGAAGCCUACAUCUCUGAUUAUGGUGACACUGUAAACUUGAGCUUUCACCUCCUGCUAGAAAUUGUUGCUUGCAUCUCUUCUCAGCAUCUGGCCAAGUGCAAUUUUGACUCUGUUACCAUCAGAUGUUUCACCGUCUUCUCUAAUCUGGAGACGUGUUUUGGGACUUGGCUCUGUAACUUUCCAGGACCAAGACUUUCUUUUGCGUCAAAC
Molecule: long non-coding RNA, 1323 nt
Filed under: Numida meleagris (helmeted guineafowl)
Lineage: Eukaryota; Metazoa; Chordata; Aves; Galliformes; Numididae
Description: lncRNA (ENSNMEG00000000889.1)
Source: RNAcentral